This 107-nucleotide small nucleolar RNA is filed under the name Dipodomys ordii (Ord's kangaroo rat). Its description in RNAcentral is "Small nucleolar RNA SNORA33 (ENSDORG00000021224.2)". Lineage: Eukaryota; Metazoa; Chordata; Mammalia; Rodentia; Heteromyidae. The record is from RNAcentral.
AUGCAAGACACAAAAGCUAACUGCAGAUAAAGCUGGCAAUAACAGUGCCAUGAUACAAGCCCUAAGGACAAUCCAAGUCAUUCAGGUCCCUGAGAAUGGCUACAACA